Molecule: long non-coding RNA, 367 nt
Organism: Poecilia latipinna (sailfin molly)
Lineage: Eukaryota; Metazoa; Chordata; Actinopteri; Cyprinodontiformes; Poeciliidae
Exons: 3
Source: RefSeq, a predicted model, not a curated record
GCAUGCACGCAAACAAUGCGCUUAACGACGCUCUGAUCGCCGCCGAUCAAUCGUCCUUCUGGCCGCCUGUACAAGCUCCAUGUUUCCUCCUUCCUGUUAGAGGCACUACAUAAAGAGCUCAGUGGAACGGCCAGCUCGUGGUGUUGGUGGUGGACUUUCCGGGUGGUGGUACUCCUUUGGUUUGGUGCACGAUUUUCUUUUGUUUUUGCCUUGUUUCGUUUGCUGUGUUUCUUUUCUUUUAGGACACUACCCCGAAUUGCACUCCCAUCCCCGAGUUGAGCUAGCACUGACUUUUAAUGCGAGUGGUUUUAGACUAGUAUUUUUGAUUAACAAACAAUUGUGGAAUAAAUAAAAAUUGUUACAUUGU